This 75-nucleotide transfer RNA is filed under the name Actinoallomurus bryophytorum. It matches the Rfam family "tRNA". Rfam says of the family: Transfer RNA (tRNA) molecules are approximately 80 nucleotides in length. The record is from Rfam by way of RNAcentral. Lineage: Bacteria; Bacillati; Actinomycetota; Actinomycetes; Streptosporangiales; Thermomonosporaceae.
GGCGCAGUAGGCAAAAUGGAUACAGCCGCCGGACUUUCACUCCGGUGCAUGCGGGUUCGAAUCCCGUCUGCGCUG